This is a long non-coding RNA of Acinonyx jubatus (cheetah), 5465 nucleotides long. RefSeq lists it as uncharacterized. The transcript has 2 exons. Lineage: Eukaryota; Metazoa; Chordata; Mammalia; Carnivora; Felidae. The record is from RefSeq and is a predicted model, not a curated record.
UCUCCAGUCCCGCUAAAUAUCAUCGGUGCACUGGCACCCCACGUCCACAUCUGCAGAACUGAUGUCCAACUGGCUCCCUGACGUUGGGUGGCAGGAAAAUCUCAAACCCAGCAUGUCCAAGAUCCCGCCCCCGCCACACACACGCCAUAUUCCUCCUAGUGAAAUAUUUACCUGGGCCAAAAGAUGCUGGAAUCAUCCUGAACAUAAAUCUUGCUAACGCAGUUUUCAACACAGGUCCUCACCACCCUCCACUGCUUCCUGAAGUUGCCACUGAUGGCUGGACCAUUGGGACUGCCUCUUCCCUGCCCUCCUGACCUCCACUGCAUGCUGCAUUUGGCAUCAGAGUGAUCGUAUUGAGACAAAUUGAAUAGGAAGGAGCAUGAUGAAAAGAUUUGCUGUGUGUCUGCCCCCCUGCUCUCAGCCCGGCAGGGCCAGACCUGAGCUUCCCAUCACCGUCUACACGAGGAAGGAAGCUGGAACUCGAUGCUGGUGAAGCAAUCUUAAGGGACCUUGACCACACCUUGUGUCUGUACUCUAUUAUGGAGGAAAGUGAGCUUAUGUGAUAAAACGAUGCUCUAGAAUUUAUACAAUUUGCCUUGGGGGGAAAUAGAGCCAGUGGAGAGCUUCGUGGGGGCAGAAGCAGGGAGCGUGGUCCUAGCCACACAGGCAGGCAGGUGCAGUCCCGUACUCAGUAUGUGGGUCUUAAAAAAGUUAUUGGAGCAUUACGGGUUACAAGUAUAAAACGUGCUCACUGACGGUUAACCAAGCUGCCCUCAGCAGAGUAAAUUGGUGACGGUGAAGGAAGAAGCAGCCGUAAUUCCCAAUCGCAGGGCGAAACCAGCACCAAGGGACCGGUCUGAGACCGUGCCUCCCAGGGAGGCACCGGGUUCGUAGCGGGCCACGGCCCAGGGCUCUUCCCCCGGCUCUGGCGGAGAGCACACAUUCGAGGCGCCGGAAGAUUCUCAUGGUGUAUCACCCUCUGGCCGUGGAAAACACACUCAGUGACCGCUCGGCUGCUAGCGGGUAAUUCAUGGUCAUGUGAAGAUCCCAGAGUCCACACUGUCAGCCCCUGAAGACGAGAAGGAAGGAGGACGUGGCUGAGGGUCUCUUCGGAGUCUGUUGGGUCCGUGGGUCAGCGGGGCCGGGACCAGGCUGACGUCUGCUCUGGCCAAAGUGGCCCCUGUUGCUAGAGGUUGCCUUGCACGGCCUUCCCUCUGCUGUGCUCUCUCUUUCCUCUCCCGAGGCCCCGUGUGAACCUCGCCGCCUCGGUGAGUGUCAUCCCCCAAGGUGACUCUGUGGGAGGCCGGGACCCCACAUGAUCCCGUCACCUGGAACCCAUCCCAGGAAGACUCUUACAGCCGUGACUGAACUUUGAAGCCCGCAGAUCACGAUGAUUUGAAACAUUUCGAAAAACGGCCGGGGCCUCUGCUCCCUGAGCCCUCAGCAGGACCCUGCAAAGCCAGGACCCGGUGGGAAGGGGCCCCAGGCACUGAGGCCUCCUCCCUUGUCUGGCAGGCAGUUCGUGCCUGGAGACCUGCCGGGAAGGGCGCAGGGACACAGUAGACCCGGCCUCCUCGGGGGUGGGAGAGGGGUCCUUACCCUGCAGGCACAAGGGGCGGGCCUGUACUGGGGCCACAUCACCGGUGCCGACACUGCUCCAAACGCAGCCCGGAAGGAGAGAGGGGUGGCGGUGGGAGCAGCGGACAGCCACCCACAGCGGCUCCCACACGGUAAGUCGCCCACACAGAGCGGGUUUUACUGCCGCUGUUACUUCCUGCAAGAGAGCCGGGGCCCGCGGCUCACACAACUGCCUCCCACAGCUGCAUAUUCCUUGGGGCUGGAGUUCAAGCCCCACGACGGGGCGGUUGUCCUGUGGGCCAGCUGGAGCCAGCAGGCGAGUGGGGAGUCCUGCAGUGGGCUAAGCCUGGCCCGUCCCUCACCGGCAAAGUGACCCUGAGUGUGUGCAGACGUCUCUCGGGCCUCGGUGGCCCCGCUCUGGAAGGGGACGUUCACGCCUCGCGGUGCGGCAAGGAAGCCAUUCACUUGGUGCCUCUCACACGCUGCUGCCGGUGCUCAGACCCCUCCGUUCCCACGCGGCUCAGUCCCUGCGCUUAGAGCACCUCUCCGUUGCCUUGGUGGGUCGUUGGGGGCAAGGCCCUGGGCCAGAUGAGCCAGGUCCACACCCGGCCAUCGCUUGGCUUCCUGAGCCGUGGCUUCUGCCCCGAGCGAUGGUGGGCAGGUAUACCCCUCCCCCUCCCAGGGCUUUGGGAAGGGUGCUGGAGAGUGGGCUCUGCGUGUCCAACGGAGAGCCAGAGCCAGAGCUCUGAGUGGCCGGGGCUCAGCCCUGCGCGUAGCACAGGGGAUGCUUUAUGAACACACGCGAUUGCUCUGGCUUUCCUGCUUCCUAAAUGAAGGCUUUCAGCUGAGUGCAGUCAUGGGGGAGCUGUUCGCUGCUAAUAAGCACACACAGAGCCUCGGUGAAGUGCCACCAGGGCGCCUGCACCGUGUUCUGGGUCCUGCAGAGGCCUCACAGGACGCAGAGGGGUAGACACAGAGUUGUAAGAGUCUGGUGGUGUCAGAUCCCUGCUGCCCGGGGGUCUGGGGGAAGACGGGACAGAGUAGUUGAGUGUGUUUUUAAUCAGACUGUCUCCUUCCUCUCAACAUUGAGGACAUCACUCUGAUGUCCACGAGCACUUGCUGAUCUGAGUGAAGAAGGCCAAACUGGAUAGCACUUGCAAGACAGGUUUAUCUCCAAGUUGCCAGUGAUCAUUCCAUCUUUUCCUGGGUAGAGGGGAAUAAUUUUGGAAAGACAUUACUUGGAAUUAAAAGGCAUUUGCCAUACGCUGUUUUAUGCAUAAUGUAAUUUAUAGGUUUGCCAAUUAGACAUGAAAAUUCAGAUACCAGACAAAUAAAGUCUGAUAUUUGGAGGCAAAUGCGAGAUUCAAGAGAGAGACGAAAUUACAACAAAACAUCUUCUUCGGAGCUUUCGAAUGCCCAGGUCUGGAGCAAAAGCCCCAUGCUGACACCCCAGCAGGUGUGGGGUUGUCCAGUCCUCCCUGGGGAGCAGUGACCCCUGCAGUUGCUUCAGGUGCACUGCAGCCCCCCUCCGCCCCUCCCCUGUCACAGCAAUGGCUUCGGGUAACGCAGCCAGUACUGACAGCCUCCUGGCCAAAUCACGAAAGUUCCUGGUCUCCUCCAGUUGUUGGGUGCAGGCCCCAGGUGGGCCCUCCUCCUGAGGCUCCCUGGCCUCUGCACACCUCAGGCUCUGUCUGGGGCACGUGGUCGGAGGGGGUGCCCCCCAGCCCCCCCCAGCCCUCGCCAGGGAGGAUGCCCACCCUCGUCCAACCCAGACAAAACCUGCUGUUCCCAGUGUUACCGUAGGAACAGAUUCAGGACAGGGCUGAGCUCCUCCUCCCUGGUAACUUGGAGAUCCCGAAGACAGCUGGCAUUCUGCUAGGCCCCUGCCGUGCCGAGGCAUCCGAUGGCAAAGGGCACUGCACCUGAGCACAGCACUGCCACUUGUCACCCAGGGGACAGGGCCCUGUGCUCCCAGGACUGUCAAGCACAUUCUGGAUGCUUUACUGCUACUAAGGUUGGCGGGGGGAGGGGGGGGAGCUGCUGGGGGAGGGAGUCAGACUAUGAACAUGUUAAAAGUCAGGGGGGGUGUAAAGUUACUGCACAUAAAUAUUCUGCAAACAGCUGCCUAGAAUAUUCCUUAUAUUGGAAAGUAUGCUUUGAGGUCAUUACUCAGGAUUUUAUAGGCCGUUUCUUGGCUGAGCCCCAGGAUGGCUUAUGGCUUUGCAAAAAGGCGACGCCACGUUUUAUGAAUGACAGGUGGCUUUUAUCACACCUCUGCAUUAUCGCUAUGGUAAUAGGGCUGUGGCGAUGCCCUGCGGCCGGGGGCACCUGAGCGGGUGCAGCGGGCACAGCCUGCAGGUCUGGCCUUGAUUAAGGGUCCCCGGACGACACUGACUGAGGUCCAUUUCCCAGUCUGUUUUCCUGCCAGUGGAGUCAGUGCCGCAGAACAGCUGCUGGUGCCCCUGUAUCUGGGCACAGCCCUGAGGCACAGCCCUGAGGCGGGCCGGCCUCCGCGGGGAUUGGCUGCCACCCCCCCCCAACCCGAGGGCCCCGCACUGAGGUCUUUGUCCUUCCUCCUCCCUCCUCUGCCCAGUGGCCAUCUGCAUGGACCGAGCUGACCAACCUCCUCUGUCUAUCGGGAGGCGAAAUCAAUUCCUGUUUGUUGAGCUCUUCCAAUGCAGGCCUGUGUCUAGUGGUCAAGACCAAAGAGCCCGUUCUCUCCUGUCUCACUCCCCUGCUGGCUCCCUGCCCUGAACCUCCCAGACCACCCUCCCCACACCCAUGGCCGGGUGACCUCUCUUCCCAUCAGUCUGAGCAGAGCCUGCUCCUGGCUGUCCCCCAGAUGGGAUCUGACCAUGGUCCACGCCGAUGCCCUUAAGGCAAUCUUGAGAAUGCAGGUGCAGAGACUUGGAUGUUCCCAGAGGCCGCAACAAUUUGGACAUAAAUACAGGAAAAGGAAAGUGGAGGUGCAGGGCCAAGGGGUGGAGGCACACGGGACGCCCACAGUGACUCCACAGCAACGCUGACGCCUUUGGGUCCAGGUCCCUGUGCUCCAGGGCUGGUUCCCCUCGGCUGCCCACACACCUCACUCUGCCGACGGGCUUGGGGGAAGCCAGGAGUUUUGGAGUCUGGCCUUCCCAGCACGGGCUGCCCAGGGAUCUGGAAUUGCUCUGCUCUGAUUCUGGCCUUGGGUUUGGCCACAGGCCAGCACUGCAGGGCGGCUGAGGCCCAGGUGCCAGCUGGGGGCAUGCAUUCCUGACUUCCUGGGAGGUGACCACUGGAUCCAUGCAGCUUGCAGAAGGGCCCUGGCCUUUGGACUGUGAUGUGGCACCACCACUGGGGAGACCCCAGAGGGAGGGGGGCGGCCCUGCGCAGCGGCCCGGCCCGGCCCGAGCCUGCACCACGGACCCAAUCCUGCUUGAUGAACCAGGGACAAAGUCGGUGUUUGGAAUCUGGUCGAUGCCAUUUUAAAAACUUAACAGACUAAAAUCAGUGAAUGUGAAAGAGGCCGACUGUCCGUCCUGCCUUCUACGCUCUGGCCCCGAGCUCCGCCACCCCUCGGGGUUUCUGUAGGUAAACCAGGUGGUGAGACCCAGGCCUGCAGGAAGGGUUAUUGCCACUGCACCUCCCUGAAGCUCCUGCUUUGCCCGCAGGGCCAGCGCGGUGGGCACGGGCUGGCCCGGCUCCGGGCAGGGUGCCUAAGAAGGGGUCCGAGUCCACUCAGGUGGCUGGAGGUUGGACGUCUGAGACCAAGUCGCCACCCCCCAUAUUUGAUGUCUGGUGAGGACUCACGUCCUGAUCACUACACUGCUGUCUUCCCCCUGUGCCCUCACGUGGCCGACAGGACAGAAGGGCUCUCUGGGGUCUCUUCGUUUUUCUCUCUCUUU